CGGGUUGUAAAGCACUUUCAGUAGGGAGGAAGGUAGUGUAGUUAACACCUGCAUUAUUUGACGUUACCUACAGAAGAAGCACCGGCUAACUCCGUGCCAGCAGCCGCGGUAAUACGGAGGGUGCGAGCGUUAAUCGGAAUUACUGGGCGUAAAGCGCAUGCAGGCGGCCUGUUAAGUCAGAUGUGAAAGACCCGGGGCGUUAACCUCGGAAUUGCAUUUGAAACUGGCAGGCUAGAGUCUUGUAGAGGGGGGUAGGAAGUUUCAGGUGUAGCGGUGAAAUGCGUAGAGAUCUGAAGGAAUACCAGUGGCGAAGGCGGCCCCCUCGGACAAAGACUGACGCUCAGAUGCGAAAGCGUGGGGAGCAAACAGGAUUAGAUACCCUGGUAG
Molecule: ribosomal RNA, 387 nt
Filed under: uncultured bacterium
Lineage: Bacteria
Description: bacterial SSU rRNA
Rfam family: Bacterial small subunit ribosomal RNA
Source: RNAcentral